GGGAGUUUCUGUCGCUGCUUCUCUAUGGAGAGGGCGGUGUGCGGGUUGAAGACGAUGGGGGAGCCGGUGGUUUCUGUGUUGAGCUCCCGCUCCUCGGAGAUGCCCGGUGCCUCGGACCCUGGAGCAAGGCAGAGGGUCAAGAGCUACGCUCGCCUUGGACUGAGCUGCAUGCAGACUGUCACGCAGGUGGCGCGAUCGCGCGCGGAGCCGAACCGGAACCGAGGCACCCACGGUCGCGGCUGUGCGUUAACACGCGUAAAGGCGCAGAACCCGCACCGAAUGUCCAAAGUAGUCUGUUUUUUCCUACUUACCCGGCUUCCAAAAUUUCAUCGUGGAGAGGGGAGCCGCCAUCUUGGCCACUACGUCACAUAUUUUUUUUCAAAGUCGUUCGAUGACGUCACGGCUGGGACUUUGCACUGAGAUUUUAUGAAUGAUGUCAGUAAGAACUAUUGGACUAUUGGAACAGGAAGAUUAGAUUUUAUUAUUAUUAUUAUUAAAGUAUCUACUUACAUUAUACAGGCGGUAAAUGUCAAAUGAUCAGCCAAAGUAAUUAAAACUGAUAGUAGAAACUUUAGGAAAAAUCAGUAUCACAAUUCACUUAAAUGAUCUUUUUUGUAUCAGAAAUUAAACCCUCAUCUCCAAAACUUACAAUUAUUUUCCGUUGUCAAAUAGUCCAUGAUAAAAACAUUAACAAAUAAUGAAAAGAUUAAUGAAAAACUGCAUCUUAUAUCAGUAGAAUAAAUGAAAUGAAUUAAAGAACAUUAUGUGAUUCAGUGGCACCAGUACCAGCAUGAAGGACAACGCAAAGAAAUCUGCAGAAAUUCAGUUCCAGAAUGAGUCAUUAGACAAACAAUGCAUUAAUACCUUCUACAUAUCAGUAAAAACAGACACCAUCUCUGAAAAUGGAGGCCAAAUAAAGCCCAUGUUUAAUGAUUCUCAAAAGUUUUGAUCAGAAAAUACAAUCCUUUCGAACACCAGCUGCUUUAUCUAAUAUAACAGUAUCCUUACAAUAACUUUGCAUGAACAAAUUUUAAAAGUUUUCACUAUAAAAUACUGAGAAAUGUUACAUCAAGAGACAUAACACAAGUACAAAUAAAUCUGUGUAAUACAAUGUGGAUGUGACAAAUAGGACAUUGCAAACAAGAUUAAAUUAAUUGAAAAACAACAGGUAAGACAUGGAUUUGGAAGCUGUAUGUGAGAAAACAUGUUUAAAUUAAAUUACAUCUACCCUCCUAACUAAUGCCAUUAGUAAAUGACAUCUACACAAACACAUAACUCAUGGCAGUGCACAGACCAGGGUUGGCUUCAAACUGUGAACAUUUGCAUUAGCAUGCAAGCUUCGCAAUCUGUUUGAACAGGUGGAUGGUUUAGAUCCAGACUGAAGCGUGAGUGCUUCAGUACAAUGUGCUGUUACUGGCAUUCAGACAGGACAUUAGCUGAUAUGUGUAUCUUACAACUAGGAUUUAACUGUGAUGGUAAAAUUAGCACAACUGAGAUUUCAGAUUUUCUCCCACAAAUAAUGUAGGUGGUAAACGUAAUGGUUACCUACAAUGAACACUCCUCAAAUGACACGUGUAACUUUAUAUAAUGGUAAUUUUUUAAAUAUUUUUAUCAGGGACCGAUGAAAUGCAAGAAGGAUGAUUUAAGGUGGAACAUCCUGGGUUGUUGAGUAGAUGUGAUGAGGCCUUUUGUUAACUCCGGGUAAUACACUGACUGACUGACGUCUAUUGACUUGUUUUAUUGCCCCAUUCCUGUAAUUUAGUGAGCAGAAAGCAUGCUGUAAUGUGUGAUGAGCUCACACGAGUUAUUGUUCCUGUCAUUCUUAAGCGUAAAUAAGACGCUGCUGCACUGAUCAACAAAUAACUAACUUAUUCUGUUAAUAUCAACAUCCUGCUCAAACACUAACUGAACUGCAGCUAUUCUAAUCUGACCUAUUGGCUUCUUGUAUCAUUAGUGUUUUGUAAAACAUGAUGAAAAAAAAUGGAGAAAGGAAAUAUUGUACAGCAUUGGAGAGUGCAUUAAAAUGGAACCCUUAAAUUAAAGUACAUGGUGGUCUUGCAGUAUCUUAACAUUCGAACUACGGUUCCCAUGAUGCACUGCACACAGAAGUCAUACUGUAUGUAGGAGAGUUUACCCCCCUUAAGCCAUGGAGUUCCUGUGUCUUUACUUCAACAGAAAUGUUCAUAUUUGGUGUCCUGUCGACUUCCCUCAGUCAAAAUGCAGAGCUGUGUAAAAGAUUAUCCACACCACC
Long non-coding RNA from Betta splendens (Siamese fighting fish), 2251 nucleotides. RefSeq lists it as uncharacterized. Lineage: Eukaryota; Metazoa; Chordata; Actinopteri; Anabantiformes; Osphronemidae. The record is from RefSeq and is a predicted model, not a curated record. The transcript has 2 exons.